UGGGGAAUAUUGGACAAUGGGCGCAAGCCUGAUCCAGCCACGCCGCGUGAGUGAUGAAGGCCUUCGGGUCGUAAAGCUCUGUGGGGAGGGACGAACCGCCGCUGGCUAAUAUCCAGCGGCAUGACGGUACCUCCUUAGCAAGCACCGGCUAACUUCGUGCCAGCAGCCGCGGUAAUACGAAGGGUGCAAACGUUGCUCGGAAUCAUUGGGCGUAAAGCGCACGUAGGCGGCUUCGCAAGUCGGAUGUGAAAUCCCGUGGCUCAACCAUGGACGUGCAUCCGAAACUGUGAGGCUUGAGUAUGGAAGAGGGUCGCGGAAUUCCCGGUGUAGAGGUGAAAUUCGUAGAUAUCGGGAGGAACACCAGUGGCGAAGGCGGCGACCUGGGCCAAUACUGACGCUGAGGUGCGAAAGCGUGGGGAGCAAA
This 424-nucleotide ribosomal RNA is filed under the name uncultured bacterium. RNAcentral describes it as "bacterial SSU rRNA". It matches the Rfam family "Bacterial small subunit ribosomal RNA", at positions 355 to 772 of the family's 1533-position model. The record is from RNAcentral.